GAUGAACGCUGGCGGCGUGCUUAACACAUGCAAGUCGAACGGAAAGGCCCAAGCUUGCUUGGGUACUCGAGUGGCGAACGGGUGAGUAACACGUGGGUGAUCUGCCCUGCACUUCGGGAUAAGCCUGGGAAACUGGGUCUAAUACCGGAUAGGACCACAUUUUGGAUGGUGUGGUGGAAAGUUUUUCGGUGUGGGAUGAGCUCGCGGCCUAUCAGCUUGUUGGUGGGGUAAUGGCCUACCAAGGCGUCGACGGGUAGCCGGCCUGAGAGGGUGUACGGCCACUUUGGGACUGAGAUACGGCCCAGACUCCUACGGGAGGCAGCAGUGGGGAAUAUUGCACAAUGGGCGCAAGCCUGAUGCAGCGACGCCGCGUGGGGGAUGACGGCCUUCGGGUUGUAAACUCCUUUCGCUAGGGACGAAGCGUUAUGUGACGGUACCUGGAGAAGAAGCACCGGCUAACUACGUG
RNAcentral lists this ribosomal RNA (466 nucleotides) under uncultured bacterium. RNAcentral's name for it is "partial 16S ribosomal RNA". It matches the Rfam family "Bacterial small subunit ribosomal RNA", at positions 28 to 507 of the family's 1533-position model. The record is from RNAcentral.